This 1022-nucleotide small RNA is filed under the name Pongo abelii (Sumatran orangutan). RNAcentral's name for it is "processed transcript". The record is from RNAcentral. Lineage: Eukaryota; Metazoa; Chordata; Mammalia; Primates; Hominidae.
GCUACUAUAGACAAAUAUAUAAGUGAAUGGGUGUGGCUGUGUUUCAAUAAAACUUUAUGUACAGGAGCAGAUGCCUGGCCUAUGGAGCCAUAGUCAGCUGAACACGGUUCUAGACUUUACUCUUGGUGUUUAUUACUUUGGGCAACUUAACUUGUCUGAGCUUUUACAUCCUCCUUUGUAAAAUGAGAAUAAUCCCUUUCCACCUACUGUGAGAAACAAAUGAAAUCCCAUAAUGGAUGUCUAUGAAAGCACCUAUUGGAAAUAGGCUGCCGUACAGAUGAAGGGAGGUAUUAUCUUCUGUGCUCUGGGAAGAAUGCUUGUUCCUUAGGAGGCUUGCUGAGAUCCUGGGGCUCUGCCAAGUCACUUCUCCAGCAUAUUUCCAUUUGUGAUUCCCCCUCAGAUCCUGGGCUUUUCCACCCCUCCAGGCCGGCUCUCCAUGAUGUCCUUCAUCCUCAACGCCCUCACCUGUGCCCUGGGCUUGCUGUACUUCAUCCGGCGAGGAAAGCAGUGUCUGGAUUUCACUGUCACUGUCCAUUUCUUUCACCUCCUGGGCUGCUGGUUCUACAGCUCCCGUUUCCCCUCGGCGCUGACCUGGUGGCUGGUCCAAGCCGUGUGCAUUGCACUCAUGGCUGUCAUCGGGGAGUACCUGUGCAUGCGGACGGAGCUCAAGGAGAUACCCCUCAACUCAGCCCCUAAAUCCAAUGUCUAGAAUCAGGCCCUUUGGACAUCCUGCUGACACUUGGGCCCCUUAACACCUUGGGCUGCUCAGACCCUCCAGAUGAGGUCCAGCCCAGAUCUGAGAGGAACCCUGGAAAUGUGAAGUCUCUGUUGGUGUGGGAGAGAUAGUGAGGGCCUGUCAAAGAAGGCAGGUAGCAGUCAGCAUGACAGCUACAAGAAUGGCCUCUGUCUGCUGAAGCCUUGGUAUCUGAGAGGUCAGGAAGGGGACCUCUUUGAGGGUAAUAACAGAAUUGGAACCAUGCCACUCUUGAGCCACAAUACCUGUCACCAGCCUGUUGUUUUAA